GCCUGGGUGGCUCAGUCGGUUGAGCGUCCGACUUCGGCUCAGGUCGUGAUCUCGCGGUCCGUGGGUUCGAGCCCCACGUCGGGCU
Molecule: transfer RNA, 85 nt
Filed under: Felis catus (domestic cat)
Lineage: Eukaryota; Metazoa; Chordata; Mammalia; Carnivora; Felidae
Rfam family: tRNA
About the family: Transfer RNA (tRNA) molecules are approximately 80 nucleotides in length.
Source: Rfam by way of RNAcentral